GAGUUUUGAUCCUGGCUCAGAGUGAACGCUGGCGGCGUGCCUAAUACAUGCAAGUCGAACGAUGAAGCUCUAGCUUGCUAGAGUGGAUUAGUGGCGCACGGGUGAGUAAUGCAUAGAUAACAUGCCCUUUAGUCUAGGAUAGCCAUUGGAAACGAUGAUUAAUACUGGAUACUCCUUACGAGGGAAAGUUUUUUCGCUAAAGGAUUGGUCUAUGUCCUAUCAGCUUGUUGGUGAGGUAAUGGCUCACCAAGGCUAUGACGGGUAUCCGGCCUGAGAGGGUGAACGGACACACUGGAACUGAGACACGGUCCAGACUCCUACGGGGGGCAGCAGUAGGGAAUAUUGCUCAAUGGGGGAAACCCUGAAGCAGCAACGCCGCGUGGAGGAUGAAGGUUUUCGGAUUGUAAACUCCUUUUGUUAGAGAAGAUAAUGACGGUAUCUAACGAAUAAGCACCGGCUAACUCCGUG
RNAcentral lists this ribosomal RNA (468 nucleotides) under uncultured Helicobacter sp. Its description in RNAcentral is "bacterial SSU rRNA". It matches the Rfam family "Bacterial small subunit ribosomal RNA", at positions 9 to 507 of the family's 1533-position model. The record is from RNAcentral. Lineage: Bacteria; Pseudomonadati; Campylobacterota; Epsilonproteobacteria; Campylobacterales; Helicobacteraceae.